RNAcentral lists this ribosomal RNA (160 nucleotides) under Convolvulus crenatifolius. RNAcentral describes it as "5.8S ribosomal RNA". It matches the Rfam family "5.8S ribosomal RNA". From Rfam's summary of the family: 5.8S ribosomal RNA (5.8S rRNA) is a component of the large subunit of the eukaryotic ribosome. It is transcribed by RNA polymerase I as part of the 45S precursor that also contains 18S and 28S rRNA. The record is from RNAcentral. Lineage: Eukaryota; Viridiplantae; Streptophyta; Magnoliopsida; Solanales; Convolvulaceae.
ACGACUCUCGGCAACGGAUAUCUCGGCUCUCGCAUCGAUGAAGAACGUAGCGAAAUGCGAUACUUGGUGUGAAUUGCAGAAUCCCGUGAACCAUCGAGUCUUUGAACGCAAGUUGCGCCCGAAGCCGUCAGGCUAAGGGCACGUCUGCCUGGGCGUCACG